This 252-nucleotide ribosomal RNA is filed under the name uncultured bacterium. RNAcentral describes it as "partial 16S ribosomal RNA". It matches the Rfam family "Bacterial small subunit ribosomal RNA", at positions 527 to 776 of the family's 1533-position model. The record is from RNAcentral.
AGAGGUCCCAAGCGUUGUUCGGAUUCACUGGGCGUAAAGGGUGCGUAGGUGGUCGGGUAAGUUUAAGGUGAAAGCUCCGGGCUCAACCCGGAAAUGGACCUUGAAUACUACUCGGCUCGAGGGUUGGAGGGGGGACUGGAAUUCUCGGUGUAGCAGUGGAAAUGCGUAGAUAUCGAGAGGAACACCAGUGGCGAAGGCGAGUCCCUGGACAACACCUGACACUGAGGCACGAAAGCUAGGGGAGCAAACAGG